AAGUCGAACGAUUAAAGCUCCCUUCGGGGAGUGCAUAAAGUGGCGCACGGGUGAGUAACACGUAAGUAAUCUACCCUCGGGUGGGGAAUAACAUCGGGAAACCGAUGCUAAUACCGCAUAAUGCAGCGGCACCGCAAGGUGACAGUUGUUAAAGAUUUAUUGCCUGGGGAGGAGCUUGCGGCAGAUUAGCUUGUUGGUAAGGUAACGGCUUACCAAGGCUACGAUCUGUAUCCGGUCUAAGAGGACGGUCGGACACACUGACACUGAAUAACGGGUCAGACUCCUACGGGAGGCAGCAGUCGGGAAUUUUGGGCAAUGGGGGAAACCCUGACCCAGCAACGCCGCGUGAAGGAUGAAGUAUUUCGGUAUGUAAACUUCGAAAGAAUAGGAAGAAUUAAUGACGGUACUAUUUAUAAGGUCCGGCUAACUACGUGCCAGCAGCCGCGGUAAUACGUAGGGACCAAGCGUUGUUCGGAUUUACUGGGCGUAAAGGGCGCGUAGGCGGCGCGGUAAGUCACUUGUGAAAUCUCUGAGCUUAACUCAGAACGGCCAAGUGAUACUGCAGUGCUAGAGUGUGGAAGGGGCAAUCGGAAUUCUUGGUGUAGCGGUGAAAUGCGUAGAUAUCAAGAGGAACACCUGAGGUGAAGACGGGUUGCUGGGCCAACACUGACGCUGAGGCGCGAAAGCCAGGGGAGCAAACGGGAUUAGAUACCCCGGUAGUCCUGGCCCUAAACGAUGAAUACUUGGUGUCUGGAGUUUUAAUGCUCCGGGUGCCGUCGCUAACGUUUUUAGUAUUCCGCCUGGGGAGUACGCUCGCAAGAGUG
RNAcentral lists this ribosomal RNA (824 nucleotides) under uncultured Acidobacteriota bacterium. Its description in RNAcentral is "bacterial SSU rRNA". It matches the Rfam family "Bacterial small subunit ribosomal RNA", at positions 59 to 896 of the family's 1533-position model. The record is from RNAcentral. Lineage: Bacteria; Pseudomonadati; Acidobacteriota.